RNAcentral lists this ribosomal RNA (1956 nucleotides) under Pseudomonas aeruginosa 3580. RNAcentral describes it as "bacterial LSU rRNA". It matches the Rfam family "Bacterial large subunit ribosomal RNA", at positions 3 to 1995 of the family's 2925-position model. Lineage: Bacteria; Pseudomonadati; Pseudomonadota; Gammaproteobacteria; Pseudomonadales; Pseudomonadaceae. The record is from RNAcentral.
UCAAGUGAAGAAGCGCAUACGGUGGAUGCCUUGGCAGUCAGAGGCGAUGAAAGACGUGGUAGCCUGCGAAAAGCUUCGGGGAGUCGGCAAACAGACUUUGAUCCGGAGAUCUCUGAAUGGGGGAACCCACCUAGGAUAACCUAGGUAUCUUGUACUGAAUCCAUAGGUGCAAGAGGCGAACCAGGGGAACUGAAACAUCUAAGUACCCUGAGGAAAAGAAAUCAACCGAGAUUCCCUUAGUAGUGGCGAGCGAACGGGGAUUAGCCCUUAAGCUUCAUUGAUUUUAGCGGAACGCUCUGGAAAGUGCGGCCAUAGUGGGUGAUAGCCCCGUACGCGAAAGGAUCUUUGAAGUGAAAUCGAGUAGGACGGAGCACGAGAAACUUUGUCUGAACAUGGGGGGACCAUCCUCCAAGGCUAAAUACUACUGACUGACCGAUAGUGAACCAGUACCGUGAGGGAAAGGCGAAAAGAACCCCGGAGAGGGGAGUGAAAUAGAACCUGAAACCGUAUGCGUACAAGCAGUGGGAGCCUACUUGUUAGGUGACUGCGUACCUUUUGUAUAAUGGGUCAGCGACUUAUAUUCAGUGGCAAGCUUAACCGUAUAGGGUAGGCGUAGCGAAAGCGAGUCUUAAUAGGGCGUUUAGUCGCUGGGUAUAGACCCGAAACCGGGCGAUCUAUCCAUGAGCAGGUUGAAGGUUAGGUAACACUGACUGGAGGACCGAACCCACUCCCGUUGAAAAGGUAGGGGAUGACUUGUGGAUCGGAGUGAAAGGCUAAUCAAGCUCGGAGAUAGCUGGUUCUCCUCGAAAGCUAUUUAGGUAGCGCCUCAUGUAUCACUCUGGGGGGUAGAGCACUGUUUCGGCUAGGGGGUCAUCCCGACUUACCAAACCGAUGCAAACUCCGAAUACCCAGAAGUGCCGAGCAUGGGAGACACACGGCGGGUGCUAACGUCCGUCGUGAAAAGGGAAACAACCCAGACCGCCAGCUAAGGUCCCAAAGUUGUGGUUAAGUGGUAAACGAUGUGGGAAGGCUUAGACAGCUAGGAGGUUGGCUUAGAAGCAGCCAUCCUUUAAAGAAAGCGUAAUAGCUCACUAGUCGAGUCGGCCUGCGCGGAAGAUGUAACGGGGCUCAAACCACACACCGAAGCUGCGGGUGUCACGUAAGUGACGCGGUAGAGGAGCGUUCUGUAAGCCUGUGAAGGUGAGUUGAGAAGCUUGCUGGAGGUAUCAGAAGUGCGAAUGCUGACAUGAGUAACGACAAUGGGUGUGAAAAACACCCACGCCGAAAGACCAAGGGUUCCUGCGCAACGUUAAUCGACGCAGGGUUAGUCGGUUCCUAAGGCGAGGCUGAAAAGCGUAGUCGAUGGGAAACAGGUUAAUAUUCCUGUACUUCUGGUUACUGCGAUGGAGGGACGGAGAAGGCUAGGCCAGCUUGGCGUUGGUUGUCCAAGUUUAAGGUGGUAGGCUGAAAUCUUAGGUAAAUCCGGGGUUUCAAGGCCGAGAGCUGAUGACGAGUCGUCUUUUAGAUGACGAAGUGGUUGAUGCCAUGCUUCCAAGAAAAGCUUCUAAGCUUCAGGUAACCAGGAACCGUACCCCAAACCGACACAGGUGGUCGGGUAGAGAAUACCAAGGCGCUUGAGAGAACUCGGGUGAAGGAACUAGGCAAAAUGGCACCGUAACUUCGGGAGAAGGUGCGCCGGCUAGGGUGAAGGAUUUACUCCGUAAGCUCUGGCUGGUCGAAGAUACCAGGUCGCUGCGACUGUUUAUUAAAAACACAGCACUCUGCAAACACGAAAGUGGACGUAUAGGGUGUGACGCCUGCCCGGUGCCGGAAGGUUAAUUGAUGGGGUUAUCCGUAAGGAGAAGCUCUUGAUCGAAGCCCCGGUAAACGGCGGCCGUAACUAUAACGGUCCUAAGGUAGCGAAAUUCCUUGUCGGGUAAGUUCCGACCUGCACGA